This 84-nucleotide transfer RNA is filed under the name Felis catus (domestic cat). It matches the Rfam family "tRNA". Rfam says of the family: Transfer RNA (tRNA) molecules are approximately 80 nucleotides in length. Lineage: Eukaryota; Metazoa; Chordata; Mammalia; Carnivora; Felidae. The record is from Rfam by way of RNAcentral.
GCCUGGAUGGCUUUGUUGGUUAAGUGUCUGACUUCGGCUCAGGUCAAGUCUCACAUUUCAUGGGUUCAAGCCCCGGUUCAGGCU